AUGACCUGUACCGGCGGUGCCCAGCGGCUGGGUGGUCAGGGCAGGCUCCCCGGAGGCGGCGGCGGCGGCCCGGGCCCGGCACGCGGGACCGGUAAGGCGACCCUGCCUAAUGGGCUCGGAAACAAGCGUUGGGGCCCGACCGGGCCGAGGGCGGGGCCCGGGCGAAGGCGGUGGGCUGAGGCCGAGGUCCGGGCGGGGGCGGCCGGCGAGUUAGGGUUAGGGCGAGAGGAUUCGGCUUCCCGGCGGCAGAGGGCGCCUGGCGCUGCGGUCCGGCGCGCCGGAGCCGCCCGCGCGGGCGCCGAGAGGAGAGGCGAGGCGAGGCGGGGAGCGCGAGCGACGGCGGCCACUGCCACGUAUUCCCGGCAGUGGCGGCGGCGGCGGCGGUGGCGGCGGCACGGGAGGAGGAAUAACCCAAGUCACCUUUCCUGGAAAUCAGUUUGCUGCAAGCCUUGAAACUGCAGUUCUUGGAGUUGAAGAAAAGGAGGUUGUGCGCCUUGACCAGAGGAGCGUGGCCCGUCCUUCAAAACCCUCUCCGGACGCCUUCCUAGCCUCGCCCGGGAAAGAUGCGGCAGCUCAAAGGCAAGCCCAAGAAGGAGACGUCCAAGGACAAGAAGGAGCGGAAGCAGGCCAUGCAGGAGGCCCGACAGCAGAUCACCACGGUGGUGCUGCCCACGCUGGCCGUGGUCGUGCUUCUGAUCGUGGUGUUCGUGUACGUGGCCACGCGCCCCACCGUCACCGAGUGAGCGCUGUGGGCGGGCUCCCCAAGCAGGCAGUGGAGGCCCGGGAGGGGGAAGGCCAACGAAACAUGGCUCUCGUGUCCCGAGAUUUUCCUGAUGCUGAGCUCCGAGCAGGGGCACCCUGUCUUCUCUGGUCUUUGACUUGAUUAAAGUUUCUCCAAUUUCCCUGGGAGGGAAUAGGGAACGUUUUAUCAGUGAACGUGCCAUACACCUUAUGGUCCACUUCAUGUGCCUUUCAGACUUCAAAGCGGUGUGUGUGUGUGUGUGUGUGUGUGUGUUUCUUUGUCUCUCCUAAAAUC
RNAcentral lists this long non-coding RNA (1036 nucleotides) under Felis catus (domestic cat). Its description in RNAcentral is "lncRNA (ENSFCAG00000040482.2)". The record is from RNAcentral. Lineage: Eukaryota; Metazoa; Chordata; Mammalia; Carnivora; Felidae.